RNAcentral lists this ribosomal RNA (442 nucleotides) under uncultured bacterium. RNAcentral describes it as "partial 16S ribosomal RNA". It matches the Rfam family "Bacterial small subunit ribosomal RNA", at positions 338 to 795 of the family's 1533-position model. The record is from RNAcentral.
CCUACGCGUGGCAGCAGUGGGGAAUCUUGGGCAAUGGGCGCAAGCCUGACCCAGCAACGCCGCGUGAAGGAAGAAGUCUUUCGGGUUGUAACCUUCUUUUCUGGGUGACGAACAAAUGACGGUACCCCAGGAAUAAGCCACGGCUAACUAUGUGCCAGCAGCCGCGGUAAUAUGUAGGUGGCAAGCGUUAUCCGGAUUUAUUGGGUGUAAAGGGCGUGUAGGCGGGGAUGCAAGUCGUAUGUGAAAACUCAGGGCUGAACCCUGAGCCUGCAUUUGAAACUGUGUUUAGUGAGUGCUGGAGAGGCAAUCGGAAUUCCGGGUGUAGCGGUGAAAUGCGUAGAUAGACGGAGGAACAACAGUGGCGAAGGGGGAUUGCUGGACAGUAACUGACGCUGAGGCGCGAAAGCGUGGGGAGCAAACAGGAUUAGAUACCCUUGUAGUC